UAACAAGGAUUCCCCUAGUAACGGCGAGUGAAGCGGGAAGAGCUCAAAUUUGAAAUCUGGUAGCCUUCGGUUGCCCGAGUUGUAAUCUAGAGAAGUGUUUUCCGUGCCGGCCCAUGUACAAGUCCCUUGGAACAGGGCGUCAUAGAGGGUGAGAAUCCCGUCCUUGACAUGGACCCCCGGUGCUUUGUGAUACACUUUCAACGAGUCGAGUUGUUUGGGAAUGCAGCUCAAAAUGGGUGGUGAAUUCCAUCUAAAGCUAAAUAUUGGCGAGAGACCGAUAGCGAACAAGUACCGUGAGGGAAAGAUGAAAAGCACUUUGGAAAGAGAGUUAAACAGUACGUGAAAUUGUUGAAAGGGAAACGAUUGAAGUCAGUCAUGCUCUUAGGAUUCAGCCGUUCUGCGGUGUAUUUCCUUUGAGUGGGGUCAACAUCAGUUUUGAUCGAUGGAUAAAGGCACGAGGAAGGUAGCACUCUCGGGUGAACUUAUAGCCUCGCGUCAUAUACAUUGAUUGGGACUGAGGAACGCAGCAUGCCUUUAUGGCCGGGAUUCGUCCACGUACAUGCUUAGGAUGUUGACAUAAUGGCUUUAAA
RNAcentral lists this ribosomal RNA (590 nucleotides) under Naganishia adeliensis. RNAcentral's name for it is "LSU rRNA". It matches the Rfam family "Eukaryotic large subunit ribosomal RNA", at positions 66 to 644 of the family's 3401-position model. The record is from RNAcentral. Lineage: Eukaryota; Fungi; Basidiomycota; Tremellomycetes; Filobasidiales; Filobasidiaceae.